RNAcentral lists this ribosomal RNA (499 nucleotides) under uncultured Glomeromycotina. RNAcentral describes it as "partial small subunit ribosomal RNA". It matches the Rfam family "Eukaryotic small subunit ribosomal RNA", at positions 591 to 1092 of the family's 1831-position model. The record is from RNAcentral. Lineage: Eukaryota; Fungi; Glomeromycota.
CCAAUAGCGUAUAUUAAAGUUGUUGCAGUUAAGAAGCUCGUAGUUGAAUUUCGGGAUCAGUUGGUCGGUCGUGCCUCGGUACGUACUGGUCAAAUUGAUUCCUACCUUCUGACGAACCACGAUGUCAUUAAUUUGGUGUCGCGGGAAAUCAGGACUGUUACUUUGAAAAAAUUAGAGUGUUUAAAGCAGGCUCGCGCUUGAAUACAUUAGCAUGGAAUAAUGAAAUAGGACGUUUGAUUCUAUUUUGUUGGUUUCUAGGAUCGACGUAAUGAUUAAUAGGGAUAGUUGGGGGCAUUAGUAUUCAAUUGUCAGAGGUGAAAUUCUUGGAUUUAUUGAAGACUAACUACUGCGAAAGCAUUUGCCAAGGAUGUUUUCAUUAAUCAAGAACGAAAGUUAGGGGAUCGAAGACGAUCAGAUACCGUCGUAGUCUUAACCAUAAACUAUGCCGACUAGGGAUCGGAUGAUGUUAAUUUUUUAAUGACUCAUUCGGCGCCUUACG